UCAGUUUGGUUUUGGCUGGAGAUUGGUGUAACCUUGGAUUUACAUGGUAGUGGUAGCAUAAAGCAGGCAAACGGAUCCUCAAAGGAGAAUGUGGGAAUUAGAUAGGUCGGUUCUAGCUACACCAGUAGUAAGUCUUGGUUUUUAAAGAAAUUUAGAUUCAGUUUUGGGUUUUACAACCUGUUAAAUUUGUGCCAGCAACCGCGGUUAGACAAAUGGUUGGAGUUAAUUUUUGUCAGUAGAGCGAUAGGUAGAGUUGGGUAUGGAUUUAGUUAAAAUUUUAUCGUGUUAGGAUUUUUUUGCCAUUUAAGUCGCGAAGCUUAGUUUCCAGACCGGGAUUUGAUACCCCGUUAUGCUAAGUGUAAAUUAAUUUGUUAAUUGACUAGGGGACUACGACUCUCAUUAAAACUCAAAAAACUUGGCGGCAUAUCUAACUAUUUAGGGGAACCUGUCCUGUAAUUGAUGAUCCACGACUUUCUUUACCCCCUUUUGUAGGCAGCUUGUAUACUUCCGUCCAUAGUCUGCUUGUAGAGGGGUGGGCGCUAAGGUUAAAGCCACUAUGUCAGGUCAAAGUGCAGCUCAUGGGGGGGAUGAGAUGGGUUUCAUUUUUUAUCAGGAGGAUAAAUUUAAAAUUUUUUAGAACUUAAAAGUAACAGGUAGGAGAAUAUCUGUGAAUAUAGCAAUGGAAUGUGCACAAAUCGCCCGUCGCUCUCCGCGAAAGUGGAGAUAAGUCGUAACAAAGUAGGCGUACCGGAAGGUGUGCCU
This 762-nucleotide ribosomal RNA is filed under the name Terebratalia transversa. RNAcentral describes it as "small subnit ribosomal RNA". The record is from RNAcentral. Lineage: Eukaryota; Metazoa; Brachiopoda; Rhynchonellata; Terebratulida; Laqueidae.